AGGGAGCGGGAGAGGGGAGAGAAGUGAGGUAUAUAUAUUCGUCCACUUCUCUCCACAGACAUCAGUGUUGACAGAGACACACACACAAGCUUCCAAACAUGAGCCUUAAGGUCGCAGUAGUGGUGGUGGUGAUGGUGGUGUCGGCAAUGGCGGAACCUGGUGGAUAUGGACCUGUCUAUCCCUCGCAAAAGCACCCGUACAACUACAACUACCACGUGAACAGUCACUACGGCGCGAACUUCGGCCAGCACGAGCAAGGAGACGGGAAGAAUGUAUACGGCGGCUACCAUGUUGACCUGCCCGACGGCCGCCGCCAGACGGUGAGGUACGUCCGCUGACCACUACGGGGGCUACGUGGCACAGGUGAGCUACUACGGCAAGGCCCACCACCCCAAGCACUACGGCAACCCUCAGACCUUCUUCAAGAACCAUGGAUACGGCCACGGGGGGAUACCACUAACUGACACCACUGCUACUACUGCUGCUGCUACUACUACUACUAUUACUACUAUAAGGGCCAUGUAUGCUAUUGUCUUUCUUAAUUAAUACUACUGUUGAUAUCAAAGGCUGUUACUAUCAUUACUUUCAAGAUGUUCAGAAUAACUUAAAGAUAAAUUAACUAUACUACUACUACUACUAAUACUACUACUGCUACUAAUACUACUAAUACUACUACAAUUACUACUACUACUUACUAACAACACAAAACCAAUACGACUUCUUAAUUCUUACUAUUACUACUACAAAGGCAAUAGUAGUGAUGUUCGGUAAUUCCUAUAAACUGCUACCAAAGACUGACUACUACUACUACUACUACUACUACUACUACUACUUACUACUACUACUACUACUACUACUACUUACUACGAUUCCUAAAGGCUUUCAUGAACGACUAAGACCCCGAUCAACAAAGCAAGCUGUAAUUUAACUUCUCUGUCUCUAUCUUGUUACAAAUAAAGAUAACAACGUUGAGAAA
This is a long non-coding RNA of Scylla paramamosain (green mud crab), 976 nucleotides long. RefSeq lists it as uncharacterized. NCBI's taxonomy places the organism in Eukaryota, Metazoa, Arthropoda, Malacostraca, Decapoda, Portunidae. The transcript has 4 exons. The record is from RefSeq and is a predicted model, not a curated record.